UACGUAGGGUGCGAGCGUUAAUCGGAAUUACUGGGCGUAAAGCGUGCGCAGGCGGUUAUUUAAGCCAGACGUGAAAGCCCCGGGCUUAACCUGGGAAUGGCGUUUGGGACUGGAUAGCUAGAGUACGGCAGAGGGAGGUGGAAUUCCACGUGUAGCAGUGAAAUGCGUAGAGAUGUGGAGGAACACCGAUGGCGAAGGCGGGUUGCUGGGCCGACACUGACGCUGAGGCGCGAAAGCUAGGGGAGCGAACGGG
Molecule: ribosomal RNA, 253 nt
Filed under: uncultured bacterium
Lineage: Bacteria
Description: partial 16S ribosomal RNA
Rfam family: Bacterial small subunit ribosomal RNA
Source: RNAcentral